UUAUAAAAUCAUUUCAAUUGUUUUACUAAUUUGUUGUACACAACAAAUCUUUUCGGAAAAUGAUGCCAUACGGGCUGUCAAAGAGUUUAAGGCUAAAAGCGAUCCCAAUGUCUACGACAAAGAUAUUAAUCCGAAAUUAGGCCAAAAUUCAUCGGUCAAUGUUGGCAUCACUUUGUAUGUUAUUAGCAGUAAAAUCAAUCCAAUU
Long non-coding RNA from Oppia nitens, 205 nucleotides. RefSeq lists it as uncharacterized. NCBI's taxonomy places the organism in Eukaryota, Metazoa, Arthropoda, Arachnida, Sarcoptiformes, Oppiidae. The transcript is spliced from 3 exons. The record is from RefSeq and is a predicted model, not a curated record.